This 350-nucleotide ribosomal RNA is filed under the name uncultured bacterium. Its description in RNAcentral is "bacterial SSU rRNA". It matches the Rfam family "Bacterial small subunit ribosomal RNA", at positions 355 to 702 of the family's 1533-position model. The record is from RNAcentral.
UGAGGAAUAUUGGGCAAUGGAGGCAACUCUGACCCAGCCAUGCCGCGUGCAGGAAGACUGCCCUAUGGGUUGUAAACUGCUUUUAUACAGGAAGAAACAUUACUACGUGUAGUAACUUGACGGUACUGUAAGAAUAAGGACCGGCUAACUCCGUGCCAGCAGCCGCGGUAAUACGGAGGGUCCAAGCGUUAUCCGGAACCAUUGGGUUUAAAGGGUCCGCAGGCGGUCAAUUAAGUCAGAGGUGAAAUCCCAUAGCUUAACUAUGGAACUGCCUUUGAUACUGGUUGACUUGAGUCAUAUGGAAGUAGAUAGAAUGUGUAGUGUAGCGGUGAAAUGCAUAGAUAUUACAC